Molecule: long non-coding RNA, 863 nt
Filed under: Durio zibethinus
Lineage: Eukaryota; Viridiplantae; Streptophyta; Magnoliopsida; Malvales; Malvaceae
Description: long non-coding RNA (DZIB_LNC000649)
Source: RNAcentral
GAUCACAGAUGGAUGAAAAUGGAUUAGGGCCACAGGAGCACUCAUAAUGGGCACACGAGGAAAUCGUGAUGGUAUGGACAAGCUAGAGAGUAAAGGAGAUUUGAUCUUAACCGCAUGCACAAAGGCCCACGUUUUGUAAAAGGAUUAAAAAAAAUGCCAUAUAAAGAAGGUAUAGAGGUAGUAGCGAGGGAUCCUGCCUAUAGGGGAAACUUGCAUGGGAAUAAGAAAUCAUAGCAGAUAACCCAGAUUAAUUCAACAGAAAAUAAUAAGCACCAACACACAAACUGGAAGAGAUUUGCAUGUGAAACAAUGGAAAUAAGGAAUGGAGUGAGCGUUGGAAUCGGGAAAAGGAAGUAUGUAAAUGAAAGUACUGAUGAUAUGGAGGUUGACAAUGUUGGAAAAAAGAGUAAGGGAGACGAUGAGGCAAAUAAGGGAAUUGACAAAAGUAAAACGGCAGUGAUUGGUUACUAGUCCCACCUAGACUAAUGAGAUGCUCACCUUGAACUGCCGUGGGCUUGGGAACCCACGAGCAAUUCGAGCUCUUCAGCGCUUUUGAAAGACGCUAUUCAGGAACAAAUGGAACGUUUUCGACUUCAAGAACAAUUAUAAAUAUAAAAUUCUAACUUACUUAAAUUUAAUCUUACUUAAAUUUAAUUUAAAUAGAAAAUUUUAAAUAAAAUUAGAAUUAUAAAUUCUAAUAUUCUAAUAAAAAUAUAAAUUAACAAAUAUAUAAGUAUAAAUAUAAUAAUUAGAUAAUUAUCUAAAAUUAUAAUAUUAUUAUUUAUAUAGAAAUAGAAUAAUUUAUAUAGAAUAUAUAAAUAUUCUAUAUAUUUCAAUAUAUAUAUUGAAAUAUAUUGAAAUAU